RNAcentral lists this long non-coding RNA (5275 nucleotides) under Equus caballus (horse). RNAcentral's name for it is "lncRNA (ENSECAG00000057610.1)". Lineage: Eukaryota; Metazoa; Chordata; Mammalia; Perissodactyla; Equidae. The record is from RNAcentral.
GUCAUGAGCAAGCCACCAGCUCUGCUGCUGGGCAAUGCCACCAGGGCAGGCUGGGGCACCCAGGGUGACCUCUCUCCUCGGGAAUGAAGGAAGGGUACCCAGCCUGCCUCCCUGGCGAGGUCAUCACGCUGGUCUCCUGCCUGACCUCUCCCACCUGUUUGCCUUGAGGGGAAGCAGCCAAGCCGCAGGCGGAGCGGGGCCCACAGGCCAGCCUGCCUGCCACACCUGCGUGCCCGCCUCACCUGCCGCCCCUGCCGGCCCUGCAGCAUUCCCUCCCCAGGGAGGAGCUGACCUCUGGCUGCCUGAUGCAGGAGGCCUCUGCCGUGAGUCACAGGGGCGCCUUGGGCAGGGAUGGGCUGGUCCAGGGGCUCGGCUGUGGGGCCUCGGCAUCACCCCCAACUCUAGACGGAUCCUGCCCCCUGGCUGUUUUUGCAUGAAAAAUAAAGCCUUCUCUGAUUCCUUCACCCAGACAGAGCCACUGCUAACGUUUUGGUGUAUUUCCUUCUGGUCUUCUCACCACACGCAGCCGUGCACAGACUGUUUUAUAAAGAUGAAAUCAGACACACAGACUGGUUAGAAGCAUGAGGAACAUUUCCCCAGGAGACCUAAAAUCUCUAACAGCUUUACUGAGAUAUAAUCAAUAUACCAGAAAUUCUCCCGUGUGAAAGUGUGCAAUUCAAUGGUUUCAGCGAAUUUACAGAGUUGUGCGCUCAUUACCGUAAUCUACUUCCAGAACAUUUUCGUUGCCCCAAAAGAACCCUGUACCCAUUAGCAGUCACUCCCCACCUCCCUCCCUCCCCCAGCCCUACGCAACCACCCAUCUUCUGUUUGUCUCUGUAGAUUUGUCUAUUCCGGACAUUCCGUACAAACGGAGUCACCCAAAGGUCCUUCGGAUCCUUGGUAUUUUUUGAAACUCCAUAUUAAACGGGCGCGCAGUGUUCCGAUCUGCGGAUGCACCGUGUUUCUUUGUUGGGUAUUUCGCUUGUCUCGAGCAUUACUGGGCUUUGGGAGGACCACCCAGCCGUGCGCAGCCACUGGAAGAUCUCCUGGUGGGAUUAUAAAAGAUGAGGCGGAAUGCGCAGCGCCCUCCCCUGUCUUGGUACCCAGCACAGGGGCUCAGUGGAAGAGUGUGAUGUCACUCGCUUUUCUCCAGAGGACAGGGAUCCCCUCCUUGGCUCAUGCUGGUACCCCUAGUGCUGUCAGUAUUGGCCCAUAGCGGGGGUCAACGAAUGUUGAAUGACAACACACAGACCUGGGCUGUCGCCUCUCCAGCAGGAGGUGCCCUGCCUACAGGAAGCCCACGCUCGGGAUGGGUCUACCGCUCCUCUUCCAGAACCCGACAGAAUGCUCCCAGGACGGCCUUUCUGACAGGGACUCUUCAUUUGCUGACGUGGGAGAUGAUUACUGGACGGAGACACCCGGAUCAGGUGGAAAAGGUGAGCCAUGUAGCCUGGAAGGAGAAUUUACCGUAUGAUCAAACCCAAGCCAAGACAAAGCUGGGCUGAGCUGCCCGGCAACAGGAGUGGGGUUUUCACGGGUCUUGUCACCUGAUUCUAAAAGGCACUUUCCCACAUAUUCCCAGCCAUGGUGGACCACUGUGGAUGUCCCCAAAAGGCUGGUUCCCAGGGGACUCUGUACCAGCGGGUCUGUGGGAAGUGCAGCUGAGACCUUUGGGGUUCUGUGUCAUCUUCCCUCCUGCAGAUCGGGGUCAGGGGGCAGCUCUGGCCCUGGGCGCAGAUCCCCCUACUCUCUGGCUGGACGCUGCUCAGGGUCCCUGGAAGGUCCCUUCCUUUGCAAAUGCUCCGUGUGUCACUGACCCGCUGUGGAAAGGCAUUUGCCUAGAUGCUGCUGUGGGGGGCGGGGGGAGGGGGGGGCGAGGACAGGUGAAGCCAGGAGCUGCCAGCCCAGAAAUAGAAUCAUAUGAAGUGUGGAGUUGCGUGUCUGGUCUCUCUCACUAGCAGUGACUCAUUCAUGCUGUUGCACACAUCAGCACGUCAUUCCUUUUUAUGGGUGAAUAAUACUCUGCUGUACGGACACACGUUAUCCAUCAUCUGCUGAUGGACACUUGGGUUGUUACCAGGACACACCCUGAGUGCUCUUACCUGCUUGCUCCUGCCAGACCUUGCCAUGGGGACAGAGUCCAUCCCCACCACCCACUUUGGAAAUCCUGUCUAUUCCAGCCCAGGUCAAAAGACUUGCUUCCCCAAAGCUUUCAUGGGUGCCCCUGUCCCUUGCUUGCCCCCACAGAGUGGGUUCAUGCCUCCCUUUGCAUCCUUGUACUGGGCAGUUGAUCUGUGUCAUUAGUGCUCCUGACACCUCCCCUCCACAUGCUGUGUGGCCAGGGUCCAGCCCAGCCAGCACACGUGGUGAGCGGAUGACCCAUGGGCCACCAUAGGGCUGAGUCAGGGUGACCCUACCGGGAAGGCUCUCCUUUUCUGCCAACCUAGGGCGCUGGGGAGAGAGACAAAUCUGGGUGGUGGUGGUGGGUCCAUUCUCUAGAUCAGAGGUGGCCUACUUUUCCCAGAAGGGGGCCAUUUAAAGUCAUAGAUAGUCACAGGCCUGCUUGCAAGACAGUGGCACUUUCAGCAUCCGAUAAAGACAGACCCACUCUGAAUUCCCAAAAAGUCUGAGAGGAAUUUGCAUUCUAUGACAGCAGUAUGGAGAGGGCUGGAAGCGGUGGAAGGAAUCUUUGAUGUACGAAUAACCGCGGGCUGGGGACUGGGCAGAUCUUCAUCCGUACUUGUGGGCACUGGACUCCCGGGGGCUUUCUGAACCUACCCACGCGAGGAUUUCGCUGUAGCCCCUAGAGGUGGAUGCCACAGGCUGGGAUGGCCAUUCAGGACAGGGGAGGGGACCUGCCAUGGCAGCCUCUGCCAGCUCCCCUGGGCCGGGUCUUCAGGGGGAGGAGGACUAAGGGCUCCAAUGUGCCCUCAGGAGACGCCCUGCUCUCAGCUCCAGUACGUGGCUGGCUGGGCCCCCUGUUUCCAGAGUUCACCAUCCAGGGGCUAGGCACACAGGGGCGCCGCCCCCCCACCCCCCCAGUUGCCCCUGCUCCUGGGGAAGUGAAACAGCCCGGGGCCCUGGUGGAACCUCCUGGCUGCACCUGGCAGCCGAUCCCAGGAACGCAGCCUGCAAAGCCCGCUGGGCUGACCUCUGCACACCCUCCCGCGGCGCCGUGCCAGGCCUUACUCAUGCUCUGGCAGUGCCAGGACCUCUCUCGGAGGCGGGGCCAACAGUGGCUUCCCGGCCCUGCGCCAGGCCCAGGCCUGCACCCUAAGCACAGCUCCUGGAUCCAGGAACCGCCUCUCUUUACGGCCGGGAGAGGGCGGCCGGAGAGGGCGAGAGCCCCGCCCAGGGUCACCCACCAAGCCAAGGAACCAGUGGGCAGCAUAAGGAGCAGCCAGAACUGGGCGCCAAGCAGCCUGGGUUCGAACCCCCGCGCUGCCCGGUCGCUAGCAGCAAGACCUCGGGAAAGUUACCCAACCACCGCGAGCCUCAGUUUUCCUGGCCCGGUCCAGGCACUGGGAAGAGUGCACAGGUUGUGACCGCAGGUGGCAGAGUGCCGGUGCCACCACUCCAUGCUUGGCAGCCUUGGGGCAUGCUGGUCUUCUCUGAGCCUCUCAUCUGGACAUGGGCCGCCCCCCCACCAGGGGUUAGUGAGACUUGUUAGGCCCAUGUAACCCCUCAGUGCGUGUUUGGGGGCCUGACAGUGGCUCAGGAAAGGAUCCACCCUCUGGAACCCCCAGCCUGGCCUCAGAGGAGCUCCAUCGGGCAUUACCACCUCCCAGCUGGAUGACCUUGAGCAGCUGCUCAAAAGCAAUUUUUCAAGAACAAAAAGGUCAGCACGUCCAGGACUAAUCAAUUCUCGGAGAGCUCCUGCCGCCACCGCCGAGGGAGCCGGGGACCGGCGGCCCCGCCUUUCCCGCCAGCCCUCUCCCACCAGCGCCAUCACUUUUAUUGCUCCAUGAUGCCUGUCAUUAGCAGGGUGUUUGAGAUGCCCCACAGUGUUCUUACAACAUAAAACUCGGGCGACUUGCAGAAGGGGGGGCCUGACGCGUUGAUGGCCACUGGCGGCUCCGGACAGUAACAGCCCAGCUGAUGGAUCAGCUGCAAAGGGCGGCCAGGACAACAAGCAUCCAGCCCCUUGUUCAAAAGCUCGGCUGCAAAGAGACACGCUGGAAGAGCUGGGGCCCCACAUGCCUGCUCUCAGCCCUGGCCCUCAGUCCUGCAAAUCCCCCAUCAUUGUGACCUUGGGCACCUGCCCACUGUCACCCCUUCCAAACUUUUCCUCUCAAGGCUGCGCUGGUCCCCACUGCAUCCCUGUUGGGGGGCAGAAUACUCCUUCCUGAGCAUCCCCCCACCCCCCAACACAAUGCCAGGCCCCACCCCCCUCCAACACAGUGAGGCCGUUCCAUAGUGCCAUUCCGGAUGGGAAACUGAGACCCAAUGUCACCAAAGUGGGAAAGAGCAGUUGCAGAUCCAAACAGUUAUGUGACCUGCCUGGGAUGAUACGCAUGAGCUGUGCCCAGUGGGGAACCAGGUCUGCCGUUCCAGGCCCCCAGCUGUCCUUGUCCCAUAUCGUCUUGACGUCUGAUGCCUGUGACAACAGCAGCUAAAAUGCAGCACGCCUUCCAGGGCAGACCCCACACUCAGCACUUGGCGUGGACGCCCGCCCCAUCCCCACGACGACCCUAUUAUGAGGCUUCUUACACCCAUUUUACAGAUGGGGAAACCGACACAGGGCACUACAGUACUGUGCUCGAGCCCACAUGGCUGGAUACACGCGGGGGACUAGACCCCAAAUGUCUGCGUUUUGCUCUUUUAAAAAUGGCUUAGGAUAAGAAAUAUCCAAAAUUGGCAAAUCCACAGGUGCAGAAGGCAGAUUGGUGGUCGCCAGGGGCUGGGGGCGGGGAACAGGGAGAAACUGCUUAAUAGGUAUGGGGUUUCCUUCUGGGCAGUGAGAAUGCUCUGGAACUAGAUAGUGGCGGUGGUUGCACAGCAUCGUGAAUGUACUAAAUGCUACUGAAUCGUUUGCUUUGACGUGGCUAACUUUACGUUCUGUGAACUUCACUUCAAUAAAUUCUUUUUUUUAAAAAUGGCUUAGGUUUUUCUGCCACCUGUUUGGCAAGAGGGUGGGUGACCUGCCCGCUCUGGUGUCCCAGCAAAGCAGCCUGCCUCUGCUCUCCUAGGGGAGGUAUGGCCUCAGGAGAGCCACCUCUCCCAGGAAGCCAUCCUAGCUGAACCCACCUGCUCCGAUGGCCCCUCCCACCACCAC